RNAcentral lists this transfer RNA (85 nucleotides) under Felis catus (domestic cat). It matches the Rfam family "tRNA". From Rfam's summary of the family: Transfer RNA (tRNA) molecules are approximately 80 nucleotides in length. Their secondary structure includes four short double-helical elements and three loops (D, anti-codon, and T loops). Lineage: Eukaryota; Metazoa; Chordata; Mammalia; Carnivora; Felidae. The record is from Rfam by way of RNAcentral.
GCCUGGGUGGCUCAGUUGGUUGAGCAUCCGACUUUGGCUCAGGUCAUGAUCUCGCAGUUCGUGAGUUCGAGCCUCGCGUCGGGCU